UUUAAUUGAAGAGUUUGAUCAUGGCUCAGAUUGAACGCUGGCGGCAGGCCUAACACAUGCAAGUCGAACGGUAACAGGGAGCAGCUUGCUGCUCUGCUGACGAGUGGCGGACGGGUGAG
RNAcentral lists this ribosomal RNA (119 nucleotides) under Cronobacter sakazakii. Its description in RNAcentral is "partial 16S ribosomal RNA". It matches the Rfam family "Bacterial small subunit ribosomal RNA", at positions 1 to 110 of the family's 1533-position model. The record is from RNAcentral. Lineage: Bacteria; Pseudomonadati; Pseudomonadota; Gammaproteobacteria; Enterobacterales; Enterobacteriaceae.